UCUCCCGCCCUGGGGGCCGCCUCCUGAGACGCGCGGUGGCCGAGGGAAGCUGGGGGGGCCGGGGGGGUCCCGAAGGAAGCCUGGGAGCCUGGUUGCUGGCUCCUCCCCAGAAUCUGACCCGCGCUGUGGGAGCAGGUGACCGGGGCCGGGCCUUGUCUCCGUCUGUGCGCGCGGCCUGAACGGGCGCUUGGUUCAUCCCACUUUCCUCGCCCGAGGUGCUCCCGCAGCCAGCUUUAACUCUGCUUAUCCUAGCGCGUGACCUUGAAGACAGUGACCUGAGGCUCGGUUUCUUCAUCUGUACCGUGGGGGCAAGGAGAGCGCACCUGGCCUGUGAAAAGUGCUGUAAAUGGCAGCCUGCGCCUGUGUGGCUUUGUUAGCAAGACAGUCAAUGGAAAGGAGGCCCUGUCCGUAGGGUGACGGCGAGGUGCCCCUCUCAGCACCCAGGGAAUGGUAUGCCGGCCCUCCACCCCAGCCUCACCAACAUCGCGCAGUGCCUGACCCUCGGCCAGCAGCAGCCCUGUGCCCUCUUCUCUCUGGCGCUGUGAGUGUGCCCAGGGGGCCCAGCCAUUACGGAGGCAGCUGCUCCUUUCUGCUGCUGGGCAGAUCCCGAGUGACCUUGGGUUAAUCAAGGCAGGGACGCUGCGACACUGGCCAGCCAGGCCACCCAGGACCACCUCUUGGACAUAGAUCCCCCAUUCCUACCCUGUCCCUCGUCCACACCUGCCUUCCUCCCACCCCAGAGACAGGAGAAUGCGUGGCCACCUCCGCUGAAGAAUGCUGGACCCCCAAGAGAAGGCCUUCGGAACAGGUGGUGAAACCGGUAGCAGCUUCUUAUUUCUUGAAGGCUCCAGUAGAGGUAGAGGGUCGGGAACGAGCAGAGGGAACGUGGCAGUGGCCAGCAGGCCUGAGUAGGGGCAACAGGCGCGAUUACCACACAGGAUUGUUGGGCAAGAGGGUUCCAGGAAGGCUGGGCCAUCUGGGGGCCUGCAGGAGCUCGGGAAGGAUUUCCACACCCUGGGUAGGACUUGUGCAGAGGGUCGAGGAGCCAGGUACCCACUGGCUGCCUGCACAGCUGGAAGUGGGCAGGAGGGUCUGGGCAGGGACCAGCCAAACCGGACUGGGUGGUGCCAGGACUCUUGGUAAGAGCCCUUCCCGUGCUCUGUAACCCUAGGCGCACCAUGCACCUACACAGCUGCGUAAACCCCGGGCCAAGGGAGACACAGGUGGGAGAAGGCAGGUGCCUGGAGACAGAUGCGCGGAGGGGACCUUCCCCAGAUCCUUGUGCAGCCGUCACAAGGGUGACCUUGAGGUACCUUGAAGGCAGCUUUAAAAAUAUCCCAAAGCCAGUCCUUUGAACCAGCUUAUUAAGAAAACGUGUGUGUUCACCUUCUUGUUGGUGGGGUGGAGUCUGAGGAGUGAUGGGAAUGAGCCUCGGGUGUCACAACUGUUUCCUCGACAGCGUUUCCGCUCCCACACAUCACUGAGGUGUUUCUGCUUCCCUGCCGUCCUCCCUCACCUUCUGGAUCAUUGCUCUGCUCUCUUUCCAUCGCGCAGACAACUUGGUCUCACCCAGGUGUGAGCGUGUUGCCCCCCGAACCAAAAAUCGAAAACCUCACUCCCUUGGAUCAUUGGCUUCAGCGCAGUUGCCCGCCUGAAGCUUUUCUCAUUUCAGACGCUUCAGGCCACACCGCCAGGGGCCGGGGGUGCCCAGAACUCUCCGAAGGAAGCCAGAGGAAGGCGCGAUGCCCCGCACGGGCCCUGUCACCUGAGCCGUGCCAGUCCAGGAGCGCCCAGAGCUCUCCCUGCGAGCAGAUUUUGUUUGUCUUCCUAAGUUGCGGGGUAGGCAGAAGUCAGGGUAACGGGCUGCCUCACAGACGUGGAAAGUGAGACCCAGGGUGACGAAGGACUCACAGGAGAUGUCUGUGGAGUUUCUGUUUUCAGGCAGUGCUCCCUAAGUCAGUUCCACUUGUUCAGUCUUUGCUUUUCGCGGGGGGUGGGGAGGGGGAGAACAGGUGCCGUGGGUUUUCCUUCCCACAAGUCGAUCUUUCCCUCCCCAAGCUCAGCACUCUUUUAUUUUCUUAAGGUUGGCUUCGUAAAGUCUACGUGAAGUGGCUGUGUGUUGUUCUGUUGCUGCCGUAACAAUCUGCCACCAUUUGGCGGCUUAAACAACACAAACAUAUUAUUUUACAGCCCUGUGGGUCCGAAGCCCCACGUGGGUCUCCAUGGGCCGCGUUCCUUCCUAGGGAAGCCCUUCUCUUGCUCAGUUGGGUGUUGGCAGGAUUUAGCUACUUGUGGUUUGGGACUGAGAUCUAGUCCCUGUCUCCUUGCUGGCUGUCAGCAGAGGGCCCUUCCCAGCUUCCGGGGCCACUGCAUUGCCUGGCUUGUGUCCCCCAACCUCCAUCGUCAAAGCCAGCAACAGAAGGCCACGUGCUUUGAAUCUCUCCUUUCUUUUCAGGUUCAUCUCUCAGCCCCAGCCGGGGAAGGGCCUCUGCUUUUAAGGACGCUGGUGAUUAGAGGGGCACAUGGCAUAAUCCAGGAUAAUCCCCCCAUGUCAGAUCCAUACCUUUAGUCACACCUGCAAAGUCCGGUUUGCCAGGUAAGGUGACAUACAGGUUCCGGAUAUUAAAGCCUGGACAUCUUUAGAGAUUCACUAUUCUACCCACCACAGGUUAUAAGUGUGCAGAUUCUCAAGCCCUCUGGAUUGUCCAGGACCUUUAUCACAUGGUUUUUUACUAGCAGCUUUACUGAGAUACAAUGCCGCUCACCCUUUUAAAGCGUACAAGUCAUUGGUUUCCAGCAUCGUCACAGAGCUGUGCAGCCAUCACCACAGUCAGUGUGGUACAUUUUUUAUCACCCCAGCGAUGAACCCUGUCCGCAUUAGCAGUCACUCCCCACUUCCCCCAAAGCCACGGAUCUGCUCUCUGGAUUUGCCUCUUCUGGAAUUUUCAGAUAAAUGGAAUCAUACAAUGUG
Molecule: non-coding RNA, 2971 nt
Organism: Miniopterus natalensis
Lineage: Eukaryota; Metazoa; Chordata; Mammalia; Chiroptera; Miniopteridae
Source: RefSeq, a predicted model, not a curated record